GGCAAUUUCAUCACCAUUGAUUGCUGAAAACUUAUCCAAAUUCGAGAGGUGAACCUGAGGUCCCUAUCUGAUACCAUUGUCACCAGAACUCCAUGUAGCCUGACUAUCUCCCAAAUAUAGAUUCUUAGUAGCUAGUCCAAGGGGUCAGUCAUUUUGAUGGCCAGAAAAUUAAAGAAUUUAGUGAGUUGGUCAACAAUUA
This 199-nucleotide long non-coding RNA is filed under the name Carica papaya (papaya). RNAcentral's name for it is "long non-coding RNA (CPAP_LNC009784)". Lineage: Eukaryota; Viridiplantae; Streptophyta; Magnoliopsida; Brassicales; Caricaceae. The record is from RNAcentral.